This is a long non-coding RNA of Grus americana (Whooping crane), 2039 nucleotides long. RefSeq lists it as uncharacterized. Lineage: Eukaryota; Metazoa; Chordata; Aves; Gruiformes; Gruidae. The record is from RefSeq and is a predicted model, not a curated record. The transcript is spliced from 7 exons.
GUGGAGCCAAAAGAGAAGGAAUAAGGCUGUAGUUGUGUGGAUGAAGAUUCGGAACAGAACUGGAACAAGUUGCACUGUGAUGGACGUGUGCAAACAAGCAAGCUCUGCGCUGAGAAGAUUAAAAGGCCCAAUUUGGCAAAGGACAAAGAAUGCUCAGGUACAGAUUCAUCCCCUCUAACCGCACAGGUUAGGAGCCUACUCAGCCUCCACUCGCUAUAUAAUCAAUGAAGAGACAGACAUCUCCAGAAGUGUGAUACAAUACUCCCACUACGAAAAAUGCUGUGUGGUUUCCUAUUCCUCCUCUUUCAGUGCUUUUGGACAACUGAUGCAUGUCAGCUGUGUUCAAGAACUACACCAGAUCUUUCUAAUCCCAGUGCAAGAUUUCAUGGUCAAAUUCCUUGCUUUAGAGCUGGGCUCUGACCUCCUCCAGCUAUCUGCACAACAUGAUCUCUCUGAACAGCAGAAAUCAAAUGUAUUUUGCUGGAGGGUGACUUACCAAGCAAAGCACAUUAAAUCACUCUGCUUCCAAGGGAGAGUGAAGCAGCAGAUAUAUAUCCAUGCUGGAGAGAAUUCUGAAGGUUUAAGAAGAACCAGUGUUUUGGCCCUCGGGCAUUUCCCUUACCUGCUUAGGAGAGCCUACAGCCAAUACUGACUUGGUUACAAAUGUGAAAGCACCGUUUGUAUGAAUACCACAGAUGCUCUUAUUUCUGAGGAACGAGAAGCAAUUCUAUGGCCUGAUUCUCGUGAUGCUGAUUUUUAAAACAGAUCAAACAUGGAAACAGCAGGGGAAAAAAUCAAAGAUGUAUUUCCUAUUUAAUAUAGGCUCUUGGAUGGAGUAACCAUCCAGAAUUAGAUUUCAGAAGCAUGAUCCCUUUUCUUUGCAGAACGAAACAUUAUAGACUUAUGAUACCAGGGGAAAAAGCUGGCUCUCCUAGUGCAUGCUCUGUUGUAUAAAGUACUCAGGCUGCUGAUUAAUCUAUGGGAGUUGGUAAUCAUUUGACUCUGGAUAUUUUGUUCAAAUGUUUUUUUUCAGUGAUUCAUGAAGCCCUUAUCGGAAUUCAAAAAGCACUUCAUGAAUCAACCAGGAGCUUAAAAAAAAAAUUAGCAGUAAUGAGCUCAUUUCCAUAGAAAUAGGACUAGGCUCACUGGUGGGUCAAACUGUUUUCUGCACUUCCACUUUCCAGUAUUUUCCUCAAUUCUUCUAUGUUUAUUUCAUGCAUCAUUAUCUUCCAUUUUCUGUAUAACUAAACCAUGCCAUUUGGCUUUUUGUUCUCUAACCAGCAACUGCCACUUCAAGGUAUUUCAAAAUGGUGGUAAAAAAUUGUCAUCCAUAUUUCACUCAAGAAACUUUAAAAUUCAUUGUCAUCUUGAAACUCAUUAUUCAUGACAGUUUCCUCAAUAGGUUACAAAUCAUAGUUUGAAGUAGUCUUGAGCAAAAAUUUAUAAUGCACAAGCCUCUCCAUUCCUGCUGGAUUAGUAAUGUGUUUUAAUGAUAUUGCAUUUGUAUUCUUUCAGUUUUCUUUCAUGAGACAUCAAAGAAGCAACAGAAUGUAUCUUUCAUAUUCCAGACAUACCACAAUACUUCAGUGUUUUCCAUUCCUUCAGAUUCACUGCUAACCAAGAUGAAAGCUAAGGUCUUGUGAGCAAAACCUAAGCCAUCUGAAAAGAAAUGGUAUCCCUUUGAGGUUCUCAAUUUGUUGGAAAGAGGGAAUUGCUUACAGUUUUAUACACCACAGCAUAAGACUUGUUUUGGCAGGUUCCAGAGAAGUAAUCUUGUGGUCACAUUCAACAGGCCAGUGUAGAAGAUCACAUGCUGGUGCUGGAGAUGUUCAGAUUGUUUCAUGGGCUCUUAUCCAGGAGAUGAAGAAGAAACAAGAAAAAACAUUCUAUGGCUUGAAAUCAUAUACACAGAAUUCCUGCUGAAGGCUAUGCAUAUUGUUAAGGAAAAAUAGAAAAGAUUGUAAUAAUCAGAAGAGGGAACUGGCUUGUGAAUGGACUGGAUUUGCUUGUCCAUAUCUGUGUGUAUGAUGUAACUGUAA